RNAcentral lists this ribosomal RNA (715 nucleotides) under Blastosporella zonata. RNAcentral's name for it is "eukaryotic LSU rRNA". The stretch from base 302 to 455 matches the Rfam family "5.8S ribosomal RNA". Lineage: Eukaryota; Fungi; Basidiomycota; Agaricomycetes; Agaricales; Lyophyllaceae. The record is from RNAcentral.
CUUGGUCAUUUAGAGGAAGUAAAAGUCGUAACAAGGUUUCCGUAGGUGAACCUGCGGAAGGAUCAUUAUUGAAUAAACCCUGGUUGGGUUGUGCUGGCCUCUAGGGGCAUGUGCACGCCUGCCACCGUUUUCAACCACCUGUGCACCUUUUGUAGACCUGGAUACCUCUCGAGGAAACUCGGUUUGAGGACUGCUGUGCCGUCAAGGCCGGCUCUCCUUGCUUUCCGGUCUACGUCUUCACAUACCCCAUAAGAAUGUAACAGAAUGUCUUUUACUGGCCUUAGUGCCUUUAAUCAAAUACAACUUUCAACAACGGAUCUCUUGGCUCUCGCAUCGAUGAAGAACGCAGCGAAAUGCGAUAAGUAAUGUGAAUUGCAGAAUUCAGUGAAUCAUCGAAUCUUUGAACGCACCUUGCGCUCCUUGGUAUUCCGAGGAGCAUGCCUGUUUGAGUGUCAUUAAAUUCUCAACCUAACCAGUUUUUACGAGCUUGGAUAGGCUUGGAUGUGGGAGUUGCGGGCUUCUCAGAAGUCGGCUCUCCUUAAAUGCAUUAGUGAAUUCUUUGUUGACCAUCCUUGGUGUGAUAAUUAUCUACGCCAUUGACUGAUCAGCUCUUAUGGGAUUCGCUUCUAACCAGUCCUUAGGACAACCCCUGACAUUUUGACCUCAAAUCAGGUAGGACUACCCGCUGAACUUAAGCAUAUCAAUAAGCGGAGGA